This 497-nucleotide ribosomal RNA is filed under the name uncultured bacterium. Its description in RNAcentral is "partial 16S ribosomal RNA". It matches the Rfam family "Bacterial small subunit ribosomal RNA", at positions 28 to 507 of the family's 1533-position model. The record is from RNAcentral.
GAUGAACGCUGGCGGCGUGCCUAAUACAUGCAAGUCGAGCGAACAGACGAGGCGUUUGCUCCCCCGACGUUAGCGGCGGACGGGUGAGUAACAUGUGGAUAACCUACCUAUAAGACUGGGAUAACUUUGGGAAACCGGAGCUAACACCGGAUAAUAUAUUGAAACGCAUGGAUCAAUAGUGAAAGACGGCUUUGCUGUCACUUAUAGAUGGAUCCGCGCCGCAUUAGCUAGUUGGUAAGGUAACGGCUUAUCAAGGCAACGAUGCGUAGCCGACCUGAGAGGGUGAUCGGCCACACUGGAACUGAGACACGGUCCAGACUCCUACGGGAGGCAGCAGUAGAGAAUCUUCCGCGAUGGGCGAAAGCCUGACAGAGCAACGCCGCGUGAAUGAUGAAGGUCUUCGGAUCGUAAAGCUCUGUUAGUAGGGAAGAACAAAUGUGUAAGUAACUAUGCACGUCUUGACGGUACCUAAUCAGAAAGCCACGGCUAACUACGUG